Molecule: ribosomal RNA, 429 nt
Filed under: uncultured archaeon
Lineage: Archaea
Description: bacterial SSU rRNA
Rfam family: Archaeal small subunit ribosomal RNA
Source: RNAcentral
UACCUGCAGCUCAAGUGGUGACCGCUAUUAUUGGGCCUAAAACGUUCGUAGCCGGUUUGGUAAAUGCCUGGGUAAAUCGUGUAGCUUAACUAUACGAAUUCCGGGUAGACUGCCAAACUUGAGACCGGGAGAAGCUAGAGGUACUCCUGGGGUAGAGGUGAAAUUCUGUAAUCCUAGGGGGACCACCAGUGGCGAAGGCGUCUAGCUAGAACGGGUUUGACGGUGAGGAACGAAGCCCUGGGGCGCAAACCGGAUUAGAUGCCCGGGUAGUCCAGGGUGUAAACGCUGCUUGCUUGAUGUUAGUUGGGCUCCGAGCCCAAUUAGUGUCGGAGAGAAGUUGUUAAGCAAGCUGCCUGGGAAGCACGAUCGCAAGAUUGAAACUUAAAGGAAUUGGCGGGGGAGCACAGCAACGGGUGGAGCGUGCGGUUU